This 236-nucleotide unclassified non-coding RNA is filed under the name Hevea brasiliensis (rubber tree). The record is from RNAcentral. Lineage: Eukaryota; Viridiplantae; Streptophyta; Magnoliopsida; Malpighiales; Euphorbiaceae.
UCAACCUAAGAAAAGAAACAGAUUCAUUUGAGCAGCAUAUUACGUCUAGAAGCAUUUGCAGAAUAUCAUUGUUUUCACAGUUAACACACUGACAAAAUUUCGAGGGAGAAAGUAAAAUGGAUAAAGAAAACAAUUAGAAGAGGAAGAUGAAGAGAAAAAUGUUUAGGUUCAAGUAUAUUUAAGAGAGCAAUAUCAUGCUAAGCAUAUGACUUACCUUCUUUCCUGUAUUAGCUUUG